This 77-nucleotide transfer RNA is filed under the name Lentisphaerota bacterium. Its description in RNAcentral is "Lentisphaerae bacterium (anaerobic digester metagenome) tRNA-Pro". It matches the Rfam family "tRNA". Rfam says of the family: Transfer RNA (tRNA) molecules are approximately 80 nucleotides in length. Their secondary structure includes four short double-helical elements and three loops (D, anti-codon, and T loops). Lineage: Bacteria; Pseudomonadati; Lentisphaerota. RNAcentral also lists the same sequence under 1 other name. The record is from RNAcentral.
CGGGGCAUAGCGCAGCCUGGUAGCGCGCUUGCUUGGGGUGCAAGAGGUCUCGAGUUCAAAUCUCGAUGCCCCGACCA